Molecule: transfer RNA, 69 nt
Filed under: Bambusicola thoracicus (Chinese bamboo-partridge)
Lineage: Eukaryota; Metazoa; Chordata; Aves; Galliformes; Phasianidae
Description: tRNA-Ala
Rfam family: tRNA
About the family: Transfer RNA (tRNA) molecules are approximately 80 nucleotides in length.
Source: RNAcentral
GAGGCCUUAGCUUAAUUAAAGUGUCUGAUUUGCAUUCAGAAGAUACAGGUUAAUAUCCUGUUGGUCUUA